GACGAACGCUGGCGGCGUGCUUAACACAUGCAAGUCGAACGGAAAGGCCCUGCUUUUGUGGGGUGCUCGAGUGGCGAACGGGUGAGUAACACGUGAGUAACCUGCCCUUGACUUUGGGAUCACUUCAGGAAACUGGGGCUAAUACCGGAUAGGAGCUCCUGCUGCAUGGUGGGGGUUGGAAAGUUUCGGCGGUUGGGGAUGGACUCGCGGCUUAUCAGCUUGUUGGGGGGGUAGUGGCUUACCAAGGCUUUGACGGGUAGCCGGCCUGAGAGGGUGACCGGCCACAUUGGGACGGAGAUACGGCCCAGACUCCUACGGGAGGCAGCAGUGGGGAAUAUGGCACAAUGGGCGGAAGCCUGAUGCAGCAACGACGCGGGCGGGAUGACGGGCUUCGGGUUGUAAACCGCUUUCGCCUGUGACGAAGCGUGAGUGACGGUAAUGGGUAAAGAAGCACCGGCUAACUACGUG
RNAcentral lists this ribosomal RNA (468 nucleotides) under uncultured bacterium. Its description in RNAcentral is "partial 16S ribosomal RNA". It matches the Rfam family "Bacterial small subunit ribosomal RNA", at positions 28 to 507 of the family's 1533-position model. The record is from RNAcentral.